RNAcentral lists this ribosomal RNA (497 nucleotides) under uncultured bacterium. Its description in RNAcentral is "partial 16S ribosomal RNA". It matches the Rfam family "Bacterial small subunit ribosomal RNA", at positions 28 to 507 of the family's 1533-position model. The record is from RNAcentral.
GAUGAACGCUGGCGGCGUGCCUAAUACAUGCAAGUCGAGCGAACGGCCGAGAAGCUUGCUUCUCUGAUGUUAGCGACGGACGGGUGAGUAACACGUGGAUAACCUACCUAUAAGACUGGGAUAACUUCGGGAAACCGGAGCUAAUAGCGGAUAAUAUUUUGAACCGCAUGGUUCAAAAGUGAAAGACGGUCUUGCUGUCACUUAUAGAUGGAUCCGCGCUGCAUUAGCUAGUUGGUAAGGUAACGGCUUACCAAGGCAACGAUGCAUAGCCGAACUGAGAGGGUGGUCGGCCACACUGGAACGGAGACAGGGUCCAGACUCCUACGGGAGGCAGCAGUAGGGAAUCGUCCGCAAUGGGCGAAAGCCUGACCGAGCAACGCCGCGUGAGUGAGGAAGGUCUUCGGAUCGUAAAACUCUGUUAUUAGGGAAGAACAUAUGUGUAAGUAACUGUGCACAUCUUGACGGUACCUAAGCAGAAAGCCACGGCUAACUACGUG